MicroRNA precursor from Seriola dumerili (greater amberjack), 94 nucleotides. Ensembl annotates it as microRNA let7a-4. Its record names the gene mirlet7a-4. The record is from Ensembl. Lineage: Eukaryota; Metazoa; Chordata; Actinopteri; Carangiformes; Carangidae.
CAGUGUUCCGCAGGUUGAGGUAGUAGGUUGUAUAGUUCAGAGUGACACCACAGGAGAUAACUGUACAGCCUCCUAGCUUUCCCUGAGGAAACAC